AAAACGACUCUCGGCAACGGAUAUCUCGGCUCUCGCAUCGAUGAAGAACGCAGCGAAAUGCGAUACUUGGUGUGAAUUGCAGAAUCCCGUGAAUCAUCGARUCUUUGAACGCAAGUUGCGCCCCAAACCUUYSGGUCGAGGGCACGUGUGCCWGGGUGUCACGC
Molecule: ribosomal RNA, 164 nt
Filed under: Moeroris friesii
Lineage: Eukaryota; Viridiplantae; Streptophyta; Magnoliopsida; Malpighiales; Phyllanthaceae
Description: Phyllanthus friesii 5.8S ribosomal RNA
Source: RNAcentral